UGCUAAUUGGUGACUGGUACACCGGCU
This 27-nucleotide non-coding RNA is filed under the name Homo sapiens (human). Lineage: Eukaryota; Metazoa; Chordata; Mammalia; Primates; Hominidae. The record is from RNAcentral.